Molecule: transfer RNA, 71 nt
Filed under: Actinobacteria bacterium OV320
Lineage: Bacteria; Bacillati; Actinomycetota; Actinomycetes
Rfam family: tRNA
About the family: Transfer RNA (tRNA) molecules are approximately 80 nucleotides in length. Their secondary structure includes four short double-helical elements and three loops (D, anti-codon, and T loops). Further hydrogen bonds mediate the characteristic L-shaped molecular structure. tRNAs have two regions of fundamental functional importance: the anti-codon, which is responsible for specific mRNA codon recognition, and the 3' end, to which the tRNAs corresponding amino acid is attached (by aminoacyl-tRNA synthetases). tRNAs cope with the degeneracy of the genetic code in two manners: having more than one tRNA (with a specific anti-codon) for a particular amino acid; and 'wobble' base-pairing, i.e. permitting non-standard base-pairing at the 3rd anti-codon position.
Source: Rfam by way of RNAcentral
ACCUGCGUAGAUCCUCUGGGCAGAAGCGGCCUCCGGAGCCGUGUGCGCAGGUUCGAAUCCUGCCGGGGGCA